RNAcentral lists this vault RNA (101 nucleotides) under Cyprinodon variegatus (sheepshead minnow). RNAcentral's name for it is "Vault RNA (ENSCVAG00000000783.1)". It matches the Rfam family "Vault RNA". From Rfam's summary of the family: This family of RNAs are found as part of the enigmatic vault ribonucleoprotein complex. The complex consists of a major vault protein (MVP), two minor vault proteins (VPARP and TEP1), and several small untranslated RNA molecules. Lineage: Eukaryota; Metazoa; Chordata; Actinopteri; Cyprinodontiformes; Cyprinodontidae. The record is from Rfam by way of RNAcentral.
GCGCUGGCUUAGCUCAGUGGUUACAUCGCAGAUCUGUCUUCCACAGAAAAGUCGUUCCUCCCUGCCGAGGGAUCAAACCACGGGCGCUGUCCAGCGUUUUC